Gallus gallus (chicken) is the source of this 1682-nucleotide long non-coding RNA. RefSeq lists it as uncharacterized. Lineage: Eukaryota; Metazoa; Chordata; Aves; Galliformes; Phasianidae. The transcript is spliced from 2 exons. The record is from RefSeq and is a predicted model, not a curated record.
UUCUCCAAGCUAAACAAGCCCAGUUCUCUCAACCUUUCCUCAUAGGAGAGGUGCUCCAGCCCUCUGGUCAUCUUAGUCUUGGAGAGUACUUAAGCCUGGCUGACAGCUUUCUGCUAAAAGAGGUGAAUUGCAUCUAAUGGAGUGUUCUUCCACGGGGACUUGGUAUUGCAAGUCUGGGGGCUAAUUUAUUCAGUGAUUGAAUGUGAAUCAAAAAUGAUAAAAUUUACGGAUGGACAGGAUUAUUCAGCAUGAUAGAAAAUUACAGCAAGAACCGCUGGAAAGAAGUGGGGCUGCCAGCUACAGGCUGCAGUGGGUGAGGCUCACCAGAAGGCUAACUGUGACAGAGAGGCAGCAGUGAUGGGAUGGAGAUUUGGAAACUAUGCACCAGACACCAGAGUUAGCAAUAAACAUUCAGAGCCAAAACAGAGGUUUCACUGGUACCAGGUUCCUGUAAAAAUGAAUGUUUAUAACCUCCUUUAAAAUUGCCUUCAAAUUCUUAGCAGUCAUCACUUAAAAGACAGGUGAGGAAGAAAAGGUUGUAACGUUUACAAACGCUGUAGUGUAAUGCCAUCCAUCUCACAUCGGUGGCCAAAAGGUGUUUGUGUUGCAUAAAAUAAUGCAAAAACUCAAGUAGCAACGAGUAGCAAAGAAAAAUAAGGAUUCAAAUAAGGAAAAAAAUUAAAAAGAUCAGACAAACCCCCAACAUGGGGUACCUAAAGAAGGUGGCAUAAGUGAUGCAUUACAAUCACAUUCAUUACUUUUAAACUUCUUGAAGAAUGCAAUAUACGUUGUAACUCAGAUAGGGUUGAGCUCCUAUAGCUGGAGAGACAGUAUUUACUAAUAACUUGAACAAGAGUGUUUAAGCAGUUAGCUGGCUCACAGUGGUGAUUUUGUUACUGCUAAGAACAGUGAGCUAAGAACCAAUGAACAGAACCAUAGGAACAGGGACAUUCCAUAGCACUGAAAGCUCCUUGUAUUUUUAGGCUGGGAGUUCAGCAAGAAUAAAGCUAAGUACAGCUGCAAGACGAGUGGGAGUUGACAAAGCAAAGAGGAUAAGGGCAAUCUUUGAAACCUGAUUAAAGAGGUUGCUUCCACCACAGAGUGCUCAGGCCGGCAAUUUAGCAAGUAGACCCAAAAAUAGCAGAAUGCUGCUUCUAUUAUUACUACAACUCAAGUGGCAGAUGCUAAUUAAGAUUUUGGUUUCUGAAAGCUAUGGCUUAACUUGAAAAUGCAUUUGUGUCCAAAGUAGUUACUGAACAGGCCCACGUCUCCAACCCCUACAAGAUACAAAGGAACAGAUUUACAAGAUGCUCUGUUUCCAUUCCUUACUGCUGUCUCUGUGCAACAGUUCAAUCUGUAAAACAUUCAGACUUUAGAAGAAACUGUCUUUCUUCAUUAGAGAAAUGAACAAAGCAAGACGUUGCAUCCCAAAUGUUUUUUGGUCAGUUUUGUAUUAAAAACAUAUGAAAGGUGUAAUGCACAUCUUAAACCAAACCACAUUUAUUUCAUCAGUCACAAGUGCAAAUACAGCAACAAGUCAGUUCAGCAAAUUACAACACUGAAAGGAAUGUAAUGUAAAUGCUAAGUACACUGACAGAGCAACUUCAAAGAGCAGCAAAAAAAAAAAAAACCAGUUUGUUCAAAUAAAAACUUCUAUUGUUUUUAUCUGUACCCUAAAAUAA